Molecule: ribosomal RNA, 253 nt
Filed under: uncultured bacterium
Lineage: Bacteria
Description: partial 16S ribosomal RNA
Rfam family: Bacterial small subunit ribosomal RNA
Source: RNAcentral
UAGGGAGGGUGCGAACGUUGCUCGGAAUCAUUGGGCGUAAAGCGCACGUAGGCGGCGGCGUAAGCGGGAUGUGAAAGCCCAGGGCUCAACCCUGGAAGUGCAUCCCGAACUGUGUCGCUUGAAUCUCGGAGGGGGACAGAGAAUUCCCGGUGUAGAGGUGAAAUUCGUAGAUAUCGGGAGGAAUACCAGUGGCGAAGGCGCUGUCCUGGACGAAGAUUGACGCUGAGGUGCGAAAGCGUGGGGAGCAAACAGG